UGCCAGCCGCCGCGGUAAUACGUAGGUGGCAAGCGUUGUUCGGAAUUACUGGGCGUAAAGCGCGCGUAGGCGGCUUUUUAAGUCAGAUGUGAAAGUCCACGGCUCAACCGUGGAAGUGCAUUUGAAACUGGGAGGCUUGAGUAUUGGAGGGGGUGGUGGAAUUCCCGGUGUAGAGGUGAAAUUCGUAGAUAUCGGGAGGAAUACCAGUGGCGAAGGCGCUGACCUGGACGAAGAUUGACGCUGAGGCGCGAAAGCGUGGGUAGCAAACAGGAUUAGAUA
This 279-nucleotide ribosomal RNA is filed under the name uncultured bacterium. RNAcentral describes it as "partial 16S ribosomal RNA". It matches the Rfam family "Bacterial small subunit ribosomal RNA", at positions 506 to 784 of the family's 1533-position model. The record is from RNAcentral.